Molecule: long non-coding RNA, 1413 nt
Filed under: Felis catus (domestic cat)
Lineage: Eukaryota; Metazoa; Chordata; Mammalia; Carnivora; Felidae
Description: lncRNA (ENSFCAG00000041267.2)
Source: RNAcentral
CCCAUGUCAAAUCCCAUAAUAUUCCUUUAACAUAUUAAGAGAUGAUGCUUAAAAUUCUGAAGUUUCUGUAACUGAAGUUAAAAUUCUCCCUACAAAUACAUAUAACCGAUAAUUUUCAGAGAGUAAGUUUUGGUAAGUGUUGGGGGGGCAUCUAGAGAAUUUGGCACUUGGCACUUUGGCACAACUGGAGGAAUUGUCUGAGGGUACAAGAACAGCCGGCCCUUGUGUGACAACUGCCGGUUACCUUACAGGUUGGUGGAGGCCCGGCCUUGCUUCCCGGAGAAUACUUCUCCCAGCGGCAACUCUGCCGGUGUUGGACAUACCCAAUCAAUGAAUUUCAGCUGUCAUCGCGAUCGACACGGAUCACUGAACAAUUGACUAGACUGUGAUGAUCAGUAUUGAUUGUGAAUGUGUCUGAAAUUAAAAUAUUGGAUACACUAUAGACUAUUCAUUUUGUGAACGUGGAAUACAGGCAUUGAACCAUGAGUCUUUAAUUCCCAUGCUUGUCACCUCAUCUUAUACGACCAAGACAUUCAUUCUCCUCCAUUUUUGCUUCUAAGAGAAGGAGAAAUUUAAGUGGUUUCAUCAGAGAUACAGAUGGAAAGAGAGUGAGACUCUGUAUCCUGCAGGUGACUUCUCAGUCCCAGCUCUGGGGAAUGCAUCCGUACAAGAGAAACAGCACACAGUGGAAGGAAUUCAUUUCUCAGGAAAAGAGACAGAUGUGAUAUUAUCACGAAUGGUCGGGGAAAUUGAUUGUCCAUUGACACUCAGUUUCACAGUGAAAAUUCAGCUUUCCUAAUUUCCAGAUGCCUCUUCCAAAACCUGGAAUUCCCCUGGACCCAGUUUGAAGACCUUGCUCUGAGGAUUUGGCCAAACGUCUUGAGCCUCAAUCAGGACUUUCCUCAUGUGCUAGCUAACAUGGUAGACAUCUGUGGGACCUUAAAUAAGCUCUGAAUUGUGAUCUCUAAAGCUCUGAUAACUUCUGAAGCCAAAUCCAUUUUAAUCUGUGUAGUGGGUUUGAUAGUGUUUCCUAAAAAUUCAUGUUCAUUCAAAACCUCAGAAAAUGACCUUAUUUGGAGUAAGGGUCCUUUCAGAUAUAAUUAAGACAAGCUUCAAGAUGAGAUAAACCUGGAUUACAGUGGGCCCUAAAGCCAGUGAGACUAUCCUUUCAAGGCACGGAAAAAGGAGAAGACCCAAAGAUGUAAAGAAGAAAGCACUGUAAAGACAGAGAUAGAGUUGUCCGUGAGCCAAGGAGUAUCAACGAUUGCCAUCAACUACCAGCAGCUAAAAGAAAGCAAUGAGACAGUCUCUUCCUCACAUCUUUCAAAGGGAACCAACCUGUUAACACCUUGAUUUUGGAUUUCUGGCCACCAAAAACUGUGAGACAAUAAAUUUCUUUGUCUUCAGCUACCA